This 253-nucleotide ribosomal RNA is filed under the name uncultured bacterium. Its description in RNAcentral is "partial 16S ribosomal RNA". It matches the Rfam family "Bacterial small subunit ribosomal RNA", at positions 524 to 776 of the family's 1533-position model. The record is from RNAcentral.
GACAGAGGUCCCGAGCGUUAGGCGGAAUCACUGGGCUUAAAGCGUGUGUAGGCGGAUCGUUAAGUACCUUGUGAAAUCCCACGGCUUAACCGUGGAACUGCUUGGUAUACUGGCGAUCUUGAGCCACUUAGGGGCUACCGGAACAAAUGGUGGAGCGGUGAAAUGCGUAGAUAUCAGGAGGAACACCAAUAGCGAAGGCAGCUCGCUGGGACGUGACUGACACUAAGGCGCGAAAGCGUGGGGAGCGAACAGG